Molecule: non-coding RNA, 1046 nt
Organism: Microcebus murinus (gray mouse lemur)
Lineage: Eukaryota; Metazoa; Chordata; Mammalia; Primates; Cheirogaleidae
Source: RefSeq, a predicted model, not a curated record
UGUGACUUUGCAGAUUCUCUUAUCAAGCAGAGAAAUUUGCUUCUUUUUUUGAAUCUCAGUUGGGUUUGUGACUUGCUUCGGCCAAUAGAAUGCGAUGGAAGUGAUGAUGUUGCCUCUUCCUCCAAGCACACUUUUUCUCUCUCUCAGAAUCCUGCUGCCCCCUUCCCCGCUUAAUGACAUAGGAACCUAGCUGGAGAGUGAGCAGCUACGCCCCAGCUGAAGCUGCCCUUGAUUAGAUAGCCCUAGUUGACCCGGAAGCUGACGACAGACACAGGGGAGGACCCAGGUCUCUCACUACCUGGUGCCUGGUUCAAAGGGAGCAUGAAAAGGCAAACAUGCCAAGAGUUUCAUGCAGAAGCUGCAAAGCUUAUGAUCAAGUAGCCUCAGAGGUCCCGGAAUGUCAUGUUCAUUAAAUAAGUCACUAAAGCCAGCCUAAAUUCAAGAGGAGAAUUAGACUGUACCUUCUGAUGUGAGGAGCAGCCUGUUUGUCUAAGCAAGCUUCAUCCACCACACAUAUGAGGUGCAGAGCCGAUCUGAUGGUCCAUGUGAAGCCUCAUGGAGUUUUGGAUACUGUGAGAGAUUGAUUGCUUUAGGCGUUGUAGAAAUGCAACACUUUAAGGCUGAAUAACUCGUUCCACAGACACGAUCACAGCUAGAUAAAUGAUACCUUGGGAAAGUUAUAAAUUUCUAUCACUUGAUUUUAACUGGAGAAUGUAAUACCACCGUGCUGACUCCCCCAUCCUCAUCAGAACACAAACGAUGAUAGACUUCCCAUCUGAUUUGACAUGGCAGCUGAAUCUACUGUAUCCAUUUCUGACUUCACGAGACUGUCAAUCUCACCACUGAAUAAUAUAAGACCAGCAUUUGCCAAGUCUUUUGCUAACAUGCCAGAUGGAGGAAAACUGCCACCAUAUCUAAUUUGUAAGUUUGCAUAUCUGAUCAGAGGGAAAAAAAAUAAUUAUUCUUGUGGCCAAGAAUGGAAAGAACCAUGUGAUGAUUCACAAAUGAUAAAUUUAUGAAGGAGGAACAAAGGAGAAUUAUAUAGA